This 157-nucleotide non-coding RNA is filed under the name Allobosea sp. Leaf344. RNAcentral describes it as "Bosea sp. Leaf344 6S / SsrS RNA". It matches the Rfam family "6S / SsrS RNA". Rfam says of the family: E. coli 6S RNA was the first non coding RNA to be sequenced, but its function was unknown until recently. Lineage: Bacteria; Pseudomonadati; Pseudomonadota; Alphaproteobacteria; Hyphomicrobiales; Alloboseaceae. The record is from Rfam by way of RNAcentral.
GCUGGGCUGCCUGGUGCGUGCGAGGAGUGUAUUCCCGGGCCCAUACGACUCCCUAGGGAGCUGUCCCUGACCGGGUCCCUGGACCCGGACACACGGCGCCCACCUACUUUAGUAGGUGUCCCGGGAUCGAAAUCUCCACGGCCGAGGUGGCUCAGCA